CUGCAGCCGGUUGACGAGCGGGAUGAGCCCCUCCAUCCCGCCGCGCCACCGCCGCCUCCUCCUUCUCCGCCCGCUGCCUCCGCUGACAGACACAGGUCUUGCUCAGCAUGAAUGGCAAAACAGCAGGGAGCUGCGAGCAUCCAACUGGCUGACGGGCACUGAUGGCCUGGAGCAUGAUCAAAACAUCUUGGCCGGAGCUCACAGAAGAAGUGAAUCCCUACAGCAGGCCCGCUUCUAACCAGGAGCAUAGGAAGAUAACAACGAACAGAGCCACAGACGGAGCUGAGCCCCAGCAGAAGACCCAGACCCAUCCCUGCACUACAGCUGGGGCUGAGAGCACAGCACCAGCAUGGGUGCAGCUGGAACGUGCCCCACGGACCUCAGCCCAUCAUGAAGCCCCUCUCCAUGCAAAGGGUAAGGAUGUGGCAUUACACAGCAAUUAGGAAACGCAGCAGAAAUGCAGAACUGGACAAAGGAGGGAUGAACGCACCCUUUGUGUGAGCUGCCGGGCAAGAAAUGAAAUGGUUUAGAUAAAAUAAAGGGCAUGCACGCUAAUCUGUGUCAUUGGAAUUAUGUUGAGAAUUGGAAACAGAGUUAAAAAUAGACUGAAUGCAGCGCUGCUGAUAAGAGUUGAGAAAUUUGCCAUCGCUGAGCUGGAUGGAUAAUAGACAUCCUUCAUAAAAAGGUGCUAAUGACUAAAGAGAUUUAGAAGGGAACUGCACAGGGCAGACUGACUGCUACACAAAACGAGCUCCAGCCCUGCCCCUGUCAGUGACCGGUGACUGCGUGCAGCCCCGGGCAGAGCGCAGCGUGGCACAGAGCUGUCACAGCUUAUCUGUCUGCAGCAGGGAGCCAGCCAGCCCAAAUCUGAGCGCUGACACUCACGAGCGCUCCGA
Numida meleagris (helmeted guineafowl) is the source of this 896-nucleotide long non-coding RNA. RefSeq lists it as uncharacterized. The transcript is spliced from 3 exons. The record is from RefSeq and is a predicted model, not a curated record. Lineage: Eukaryota; Metazoa; Chordata; Aves; Galliformes; Numididae.